GUGGAUGGUCCACGGCCGUCCACAAGCUCAAAUGACCAUAUAUGGAGAAAAAGGCGGGACCAAAGCAAAUAGGCUUGCAAUGCGCAUGCCCAAGCAAAACCGAUUUAACACCUGGCGCCGUGACCGGGAUGCAGAUUCUAAGCAGAUGGGCCAAAAUGGGGGCAGCUAGAGAGACUUGCCUAGAACUGACAAGCCUGGAGGGAGCUGGUUGACUGUUGGCGAGAUGGGACAACAGACGAAGAAUAAACGAACCUACUUGAUUUGAUAAACAUUUGUAUGUUUUUGCAGUUUCGUCGGAAGACGUUUCCCACCAACCAUCCUGUCUUGAAAGAAAUAACUUUUGAACCUGAUUAUCUGAUAUUUUCCAGUUUCCCCUCACAACAAUUUGCAUUAAACCUCUUGUCUG
This is a long non-coding RNA of Dreissena polymorpha, 406 nucleotides long. RefSeq lists it as uncharacterized. The record is from RefSeq and is a predicted model, not a curated record. Lineage: Eukaryota; Metazoa; Mollusca; Bivalvia; Myida; Dreissenidae. The transcript has 4 exons.